RNAcentral lists this unclassified non-coding RNA (330 nucleotides) under soil metagenome. RNAcentral describes it as "partial contains 5.8S ribosomal RNA, internal transcribed spacer 2, and large subunit ribosomal RNA". The stretch from base 1 to 120 matches the Rfam family "5.8S ribosomal RNA", at positions 35 to 154 of the family's 154-position model. The record is from RNAcentral.
GAUGAAGAACGUAGCGAAAUGCGAUAAGUAAUGUGAAUUGUAGAAUUCAGUGAAUCAUCGAAUCUUUGAACGCACAUUGCGCCCUCUGGUAUUCCGGGGGGCAUGCCUGUUCGAGCGUCAUUACAACCCUCAAGCUUUGCUUGGUAUUGGACAUUGCCAGUUUCUGGCAGGUCUUAAAAUCAGUGGCGGUGCCAUUUGGCUUCAAGCGUAGUAAUUCUUCUCGCUUUGGAGAUCCAGGUGGUUACUUGCCAAUAACCCCCAAUUUUUUCAGGUUGACCUCGGAUCAGGUAGGGAUACCCGCUGAACUUAAGCAUAUCAAUAAGCGGAGGA